AGCAAAAGUGAGGCUGUGAAGGUUUUAUCUUAAGUAGCACAGUCAUUACCGUGUGAUCAAGUGAGGAAAGGGCCGAGCAGAUAGCUACGCUGGCGUGCUGAAUGGCUCACCGCAGCACCGUGCACACAGUUUAUUGUUUUCUUAGCAACCGCGACGCGGUGGACAUCUUACAGCCAAAAUAGCCCUGGCUCCAGCUCCCAGAAGAUUACAGCCUGGUCAGUGCGGGAAAAUCCCUGUGACUUGGUGUAGGGACCGUUGCCAUCAGAUUAGUGAAUGCUUAAGGUAAUAAAUCAGCUGCUGAAAUAAGGUUAAAGAAGGCAAGGAGAUAGGGAGCUGAUGGAAAGUAAUAAAUGGACGUAGAAAUCAGGUAAAGGAAAGAAGGUCUCUGGGCUGAGCUGAGCAGUUGCAUGGACAAUAAAAUACUACACAGCAACUGAGAAACAUCUUUUCCUUAUAAUGUCCACUUUGUGAGGCUACUCAACUGCGACAAGAGAAACACAUAACUGUUCUAAAGGGUCUGGCUCCAGGAAAUAGAUGUUUUUUUUCCUAUGAAAGCAAGUGCAUGUUUUCUUAUUUUCAGGAGCUAAUUAUAACUCCAGUCCAUGCUGUUGGGAUGGCUUUGACCGCUUUGCCCUGAUAACUGCAGUUUAAAGUGUUAAUGUGGCAGUUAAAGAUCACGGAAUGCUUGCAGCGCUCUCAGCCUGUCCCUCAGAACAGCACCGAAAUAGCCGCGUCAGUUCCAAUCGUCGGUCUGGUUGUUAGAAGCGUUCAUAGCCACUUUUUGACAAAGUGCGCCACAGUACCAAGAAAUUACCCUGUUACAAUAUACUGGGGAAGAGAUGGGCCGUCCAUCCGUGGCUGGAAUGCUAAAUAUCUUGUUACAAUUCCUGUGGGAUGUAUGCUCUUCAGUGUGGAUUUCAGAGACCCCUUUCACAAAAUAUCUGGAAGUCUGAUACUGUGAAAAAGCUUCUGAAUUUACACAUUGCAACAGAAGAUGGUUUAAAGAGCGUGCAAAGUAAAUGGCUGGUUGUCCUACUGAGAGAUGCUUCCAUGGAUGUGGCAGGUGAACAAAGAAAAGUGUCCUUGCAAUGAAAACCCCAAAGUAGGAGCAGGCCUGUGGUCCUUUCUGGAAAUAAACAACACACUUGCCAUGCUGAGUCAUGUAGAUCUGUCACCAAAGAAAAGAGUGUGGAAAAAGCUUGAAGCCAAGGAAAAAACUCUCACUCCUGGAAAAGACUUAUGAAUUUGAAUUAGAAAGGCUUUACGCUUCUUUGUAACCUGGUGCAGAAUGUAUGGUUGUCUUCUCCCGUGGUGAGUGAUCUCAUGGAAUCAUUAAUGUAAAAUGUGUAGGAAUUUCCAUGUGAAAGAUUCUAUCAUCUGUUCCAGGAGAAACCCAGAAUUUGUAUGGCUGGAAUGCACUUCUGUAUAACAACAGUAAAAGGCUUUCUUGUAAGUGUCUCAUUUUCUGCUUUGCCUCUGCUGCUAUUUAGGAUAAUCCUAUGAAGACCUCCAACAUGCUUAUGGUAAAGAUAAACUAGAAUUGCAUGGACUUUGUUAUUCUCACUUGUCAAAAUUCUUUCUAGUCUUUCUCUUGGGAAAAACAGUAAUAAUAAUAAAUUUCAUUGUAUGUCAUUUUCUCUCCAAAGGUGUAAAAUGAUCAGCCCUAACUAGAGCAAGUGAAAUCAAAACUCCAGUGCUAAAAUUCAUUCAGUCCUGGCUAGUCCCAUAUGAACCUAUAUCUAAUUAAACCCAAAUUGUUUUCAGUGAAGCAGAUAAGAUGAAUGGAAGAAAACCAAUUUCUUACUACUCUCAGGUGAAUACGUUGGUAGCACAGCCAGUGAAUACCAUGUACUGGAAUCUUUGGAGAGGCAGCAGCAAGCUGUGUUGCUGGUCAUGCUGGGAAAAUGCCUGAGAAUUAUUGCUCAUGCCCUCAAUCUCUACAUGUCUCAUGCCUGGGGGCAGAGUUCCCUGCUAGAGUUGUCUUUGACAGAUAUAUUACAAUAAAAAUCUUUGGGUCUUAGGCAUUUUAAGAGGCCAGUCUUAAUUUUCUAAAUAAUCAAAGCUACCUAUAUUCAAAGAAGAACUUGGUGAUCACCCCUUUGCUAAUGAAAUUCAGCAGUCUCUGCCUUUCAUGGCAUUUUUCCUGUUUCACAGUUUUGGAAAUGAGUGCAGAAUCAGGCCUUGACAGCCUUUUCCCUUCUCCAAGCUUACUCAUAGCAGUAAUUAGCAUUAACCAAGCAAUUGGCUCCUUGGCAUCAGAGGUUUCACGUCAAAAGCAGCAAGUCUGUGAUUUCACUGCCUGCUCACUCAUCCAGGGCUAUGAGGUGGAAAUGAUCUUUAUUCAACAAUUAAUUUAAAAACAAAAACAAAACAAAACAAAAACCCACCAUGAUGAGUAUAGUAAACAGCAUUUCUUCAAAGGCUCUUCACAUUCACUCUACCCUCUGCAUAAUCCUUCUUUCAUAAUCUUUACCAAAGAAAGGGCUAUAUAUUUGCAUUACUCCUCUGCUCAAGCACAUCAGCACCACCAGAAUAAUUUAGAUGAACUACAGCCUUCUAAGGUAACAGCAGCAUGUAGCUAGGCAACCAAAAAGAAUAUAGUAUUUUUUCAGGAAGGAGGGCUUUCCUAGAUGAUCUCAUGCGGAUGCAGUGCUCUUUCCCUUAUAAGAAGAAAACUGCUCAUUGGAAAAAUGAGUCUAUCAUCCUGUCAUCAUCAAGUCAUAUCGAUGUAUAGGCUUCUGUUGAUGAACUGGCAAAGAAAAUAACGAUGCAUUGUAUGCCGUGUCUAUUUAUUUCUCUAUAUUUGUUAAAUAUUUGUAAUUUCAUUUAUGAAGGCUAAAAAACUGAAAUGAUUUUAUGGCAGAUUUCAUUAACCACAAUCCUAAUUAGAAUUGAAUGCUUCGAUAAUUACUAAGUCAGCUGAAAUAAAUUGUGUGUCACUUCAGUAGGAAUUGUCAGCACUGAAAAGGAGAUUUUGCUAGUGGAGGAGGCACCUGGUUAUGUGUCCUGUCUAUGUAGUGACAGAAUGGUUGUGAGUGGUGCACGCUGGUUUUACGAGUCUGAAGGGGUUCAGGUAAGGGAAAACAAAAAAAAAUUGAUCAGGACUAACAGGGGCAGCACAGGCACUAUUUGCCUUCGUACCCCAAGCAGACAGGUAGGACAAGCACCUCCCCAUCUGACAGGCGCAGUCACCUUCUGCUGGGUGAGGACAAAGUGGGAACUCUGGAUAAAGACGUUUGCCCGAUACUCAGUAGCGCUUGUGCUGGUAGGAUCGCAAGACAGCCGCUGACCCCCGUGAAAUCAUAGCACCAUCUGCUGGGGUAAUGCACACCGCGCAUCGUUACAACCCGUGAUCACAUCUGAAGCUGUAAGCUGGUAUUACUUUCAGCUAUCCCAUUUCUCUGUGUAUCCUUUUCUGCAUCACGCUGAGAAUUUGUCUGUACCUUAACUUUAUUUGGCUUGCAGAGCUGCCAGACCUUGUUUCACAGCUUGAGUGCAGCGAUGCAGUCCGUGGCUGGGACACAUCUCACAUAGCAGUGCCAGGAGACCCAGCCAGGAAAACAUCUUCCAUGCAGCAGGGCAGUGCCUCUCCAGUUGUCCCUGUUUGUGGCAGCACAGGAUCUGUGCAUUGCUGCUUCUGUGGUACAGACCUGAAUGCAGCUGAUCAGGCAUUACAUCAGUCUUGGCAGCUUUCACACGUGUACUUCCUCUCUUUGGCAUGUUACUUUAUUUGUAUAUUCCAGAGUCUGUUCUGUGGGAUUGUUUCCAUUCUCUCUAGCUUGACCGAGCCACAAUUCAUACUGUGUUGUCUUUUUCAUCUUAUCUUUCUUUGUGCUGAAACAGGAAUUGUUCCAUUAGGCAUGCAAAAAAAAAAAACCAACAACAACAACAAAAAAAACACCCCAAUAUGUUUGCAGUCAGUAAAAGGCCCAAGCAGCUUUGAAGAGGAUGAAGACCACAAUAUUCACAACGAAGUCCCUGCAGUUUUAAGGUUCAAUAGAACAUAUUGCGAGCAUUGAACUUGUAUGAUACAUAGCUGAUGUGUACAGAUUAAAGCUAAUACAAUGUUUACUUUUCAUUUGUAAAAUUAAACAACUCAAAUUUUUGCUAGGAAUGGCCCAAUAUUCUUGUUACUAACAAUAACAACUAUACAAAUAUGACAAGGCUUCAUCGCUUAUAUGCUUAUAAAACAGGAGGAAAAAAAAGAGUAUGUUGGCAUUAACCAAUUUUUUCAUGCAAGCAUUGCAAACUACAGGGUUGAUUUAUUUGUUACUUUGCAGAAGUGAUGAAAACAAACACUGCUGCUUAGGCACCUUCACAAUCCUAAGACAGAUCAUGUGCCAGCUCUUCCAUGAGCAAAAUAUAGAGAACUGAAGCUGUUGGGCAUCCUGGUGUUAAGCAAACUGCUGACAUUGUACUGAGGUUAUUUUAGUCAAAACCAAGUGAGAGGCAUCUGAUGGGAACUCAGAUGAGAUUAAUUGGGUAGAUUAAAGAAAAAAAAAAAGCUACAAUAAAACAUCAUCCCAAGAAAAAUCAAAAUGGAGAGAACCACAUACAGACAAGAGAGCUUGGCAGUCCUGGAAGACUUGCUGGUCUCUGAGGUUUUCCUGCUAGGCUGUGUAGGCACGACUGCUGUCCACACUCACUGGCUGUUGCACUCCUUUCCAAAAUCAUGAGUACAUCUCCGUUGGUCAAAUUAAAGCAUUAAUUCUACAUAGGUAAUUGUUGUUGUCUCUUCUCUCUUGUUGCUUUUUGUGGGGAAUGGACUUGGACUUAAUGACAGUGAGACAACAAAGGCUUUCCUGUUUCCUGCUGCACUGUGAGGGAACUAUGGGAUGGGUUGUGUAAUGACCCAGAAAGACAGGGCGGAGGGAAAACAAAUCCAGGGCAGCACAGUGAGGUGUAGUAUGGCCCUGCUAUUUUCUUCUCUUUCUCUUAUGCCUUCCCAAAACUCUAAGAUAGCAGCUGCUCUCCACUGCCAUGUUACAUUUAUUCCACUGACUUGAUGGAAAUUAACUUUUGUCCUGCUCUCUCCUUCUAGCCCUGAGUGAGAGCUGAACUAAUGGCAGGAUUCAGAGACUUGAAUCCAAGAGCACAGCCUUGUCAACUGAAACUUGUGUGUGCUGCAACAACUCGUGAAAAGCACUGAAAUCGAAGAAGCUACUUGCAAAUUAUGCUGCUGCUCUGAUGCAUUUGUACAUCAAGGUGGGAUAGCAGGGUCUCCAACGGUUCAACCAACCAGGAUGUCCUUGUGACUGCAGACAGUGCUGUUCCUCUCGCCACAAAGUUAAGCAAUGGAGGUAACCUGCCACAGGAUGCAAAAGCUCCUUACAGGCCCUAGAUAGGGAUCAUUAAAGCUGGAAGAUUUUUGCUGAAAGAGGCAGAACAUCAGCAUUCAGAAAGUACUCAAGCUGAGGGAGCCCAUACAGAAGGAGCUGCGAUCUUCAGCCCAGUAACAACGUUUCAUUCAAACAUCAAACCAAACGCUCAUUAUUCGAAGGAUGCUAAUCAAAUAAGCAAAUAAACGCUGCUGAAGAGUUGGCCUUCUACAGAAGCUCUGUGCAUACUGGGUGAGUAAUUUCUAAAAUGAGUAGAUUUGGAUUUGCUGCUGUUCUGUUUUCUUGUAUAUGUGAACUUCACCAUUUCACUUGGUCUACCACUGCCUUAGUUUCCUGGCAACACAGACUAGCCUGUUCCAGCAGGCUGUGGUGUCUACAUAAUGUCCUUCAUAAGGUUUACUGUUUCUGAAAUAGCAUCUGAGAUUAUCCAAUACAAAAUACUGAAACGUAAAGCAUCACUAUCACACAUCUAACUAACAAACAAAAAAAAACCCAACCAAGAACUCUAUACUAAUUACUCUGUAAAUAACUGAUAAACGUACUACAUAGCUGAUACAUAAUUAUAUGUAUCAGUUUGCUGAUGAUACGAAGUUGGGAGGAUUGGCUGACAUGC
This is a long non-coding RNA of Lagopus leucura (white-tailed ptarmigan), 5952 nucleotides long. RefSeq lists it as uncharacterized. The transcript is spliced from 6 exons. Lineage: Eukaryota; Metazoa; Chordata; Aves; Galliformes; Phasianidae. The record is from RefSeq and is a predicted model, not a curated record.